Long non-coding RNA from Macaca fascicularis (crab-eating macaque), 2032 nucleotides. NCBI's taxonomy places the organism in Eukaryota, Metazoa, Chordata, Mammalia, Primates, Cercopithecidae. The record is from Ensembl.
UUUUUUUUUUUUUUUUUUUGGUGCUCAUUCUCUCCAGGCAACCAGGAAAGCUGUCCCCUUCAAGGAAUGGGUUGAUCUAAGAUCAAUGGGUUGAUCUCAUGGGGCACAACUAAAGAUAAAAACCUCCUGUUAUCAGGUUGAAAAUGGCCAGGUAUUUGCAAACAGUAUUUUGCUUUCUUAAAUACCAGACUGUGGCUAGCAGUCUUCCCCCACUUUAGGUUAUAGAAAUUCAGAGCUCCCUAUCUCAAGACCAGGAAACUCCAGAGCAGACACAGGUUGUGUGAAUAUUACCAGGAAUAAGUUAUUUCAUCUUGGGAAAAAAAUAAGGCCAAGAUCUAGGGCGUGCUUGAUGUUUCCCACUUGUUCUUCCAGUCCACCCUAUUCCCUUCAUCACUCUUUGUGCCCCAAGUAGGAGGCUGACCUAUUAGGCUGUAUAAACAGGCUCUUUUGCACUAUAGCUUCCUAUUGGAUUCACCCCAUGGGGAGCAGUGGAGAUCAGAAAGAGGGUAGAAUAGUGAGAGCAGAAGGUCAGGGUAUUUAUUCACUGGCUCCCUCUCCGUGGGCCACUACAGGCUGGCUGAAUAUCCCCACUCCUGUCAGGUGACCCUCUCUCUCCAGCACCAGUCACCAUUCUGUCCUUUGUCCCAUCAGGCCUUCUACUAGCCCAGGGCACUGCACUACCCCUUGUGAUUUCCCUAUAACCUGCUAAUAUCUUUAUAAGUAAUCUCCUUAAUAAAUCUCCUUAAAAUUCUACUCAAAUUACCCAAUUUGAGUGGACCAUUUGUUUCCUGCUGCUGGUUUGAUGAUCACAAAAGAUCUCUGCUUAAGCAAGGCAGAAACAGGUGCAUUUGUGAAACGGCAAUGGCAAAUGAUCGGGAACCCAGUUACCUGGAAACUGAGGCCCAUGGUAGGAAUUCAAGCAACUCUUGGCACAGACAGAUAAGGAGAAACUUCUUUACUGAGAAUUAGCGAUACAGAGAAGUGAAUGCAGUUACUGAAAACUGGAGGUACUAAGCUCAGAUUAUUAAUAAUAACACAACAUUUACUGUGCCCUUACAAUAGGCCAAGUACCUAAUAAAUACCCUGUCACAUUCUAGAAUUUUUUAUCCCCUUUACUGAUGACGAAACUGGGUGAAUUGAUCAUUGCUGUUUUGUAGACCCAAACUCCCUCCUUCAGCAUCUUCUAGUAAUAAAACUAUUCUCUCCUGCAAGGAGCUCAUUUCACAGGUUUUAACUAGUGCUAACCCCAGCCUUGCCUGUCAGAACACACCUCCUCCCAUGCACAAUGCUUGGCUCAAUAAUGGACAUGUGACUCUAACAGGCCAAUAAGUUUCUCCAAGAUUUGAUACUUGGACCUAGGGAAAGACUAGAAGGAUGAUGAUAAUAGCCACCACUGCUUCAGACCACCUUUCCCUCUGCUUGGAGUAACCCGUCUCCAGUAAGAAAUCAUUUAGCGUCAGCAAAGAGAACAGGAGAGAGAGACAAGGGAUAAAUGGAGGAAGAGCAACAGUGAGCACAGAAGAGAUGACCUCAUUUGCUACUGCAGCAAGUCUCUCGAGUGAGUUUUAUCCUUCAGUUUUCCAGUAUUAUGAGACAAUGAAUACUUUGUUUUUACUUAAUAUAAUUUAAGUUGGAUCUCUCAUUUAUAUUUCCAAAAAAUCCUGUAAGUAGAUUAAGGCUGCCUUGCAGAGACUCUUCAGCUGGGCAGUGAUCAGCCCAUGUGUAUGAGAAAACUACCCAAAGCUGGAUAAAGGGCCACUCAAAAGGAGCAGGUAGAGCAAUCUCCAGAGCUGACAGAGAUCCAGAAAUGGUUGGUCAUCUCAUCAGCCAGAGAGGAAAAACAUUGUAAUGCAUGGGACACCAGGUAGAAUACUCAGAAGUAUAUUACAUUGGUAGGAGGCAAAAACCAUCGGUCCUAGACUUUGUUAGUCUGCAUUACAAACCAUAAAAGUAAGCCUUGAAAGGAUAAACUGUUUCCAAGCAAAUUAACUGUGUCCUAGAAAAAAAGCUCAAGUAUGUGUGGAGAAAUACA